GAUGAACGCUGGCGGCGUGCUUAACACAUGCAAGUCGAACGAUCAGGUCCGGCUUGCUGGGUGGUGUAGUGGCGAACGGGUGAGUAACUCGUGAGUAAACUGCCCUUAUCUCUGGGUUAAGUCAGGUCAACUGGGCCUAAUACCUGCCAGGUGCGCCUACGACCUGGUUGGUGUUGGAGAGAUUUAGCGGUUUUGGAUGGACUCGCGGCCAAUCAGCUUGUUGGUGAGUUAUUGGCUCACUAAGGCGACGACGGGUAGCCGACCUGAGACGGUGAACGGCGACAAUAGGACUGAGACACGGCCCAGACGCCUACGGGACGCAGCAGGGGAGAACAUUGCACAAUGGGCGAAAGCCUGAUGCAGCGACGCCGCGUGAGUGAUGACGGGCUUCGGGUUGUAAACCUCUUUCAGUAGGGAAGAAGAGAAAGUGACGGUACCUGCAGAGGAAGCAACGGCUAACUACGUG
Molecule: ribosomal RNA, 466 nt
Filed under: uncultured bacterium
Lineage: Bacteria
Description: partial 16S ribosomal RNA
Rfam family: Bacterial small subunit ribosomal RNA
Source: RNAcentral